Molecule: ribosomal RNA, 442 nt
Filed under: uncultured bacterium
Lineage: Bacteria
Description: SSU rRNA
Rfam family: Bacterial small subunit ribosomal RNA
Source: RNAcentral
AGAACGAACGCUGGCGGCAGGCCUAACACAUGCAAGUCGAACGCCCUAGCAAUAGGGAGUGGCAGACGGGUGAGUAACGCGUGGGAACCUUCCCUAUAGUACGGAAUAUACCAGGGAAACUUGGAGCAAAUACCGUAUACGCCCGAAAGGGGAAAGAUUUAUCGCUAUAGGAUGGGCCCGCGUAGGAUUAGCUAGUUGGUGAGGUAAUGGCUCACCAAGGCGACGAUCCUUAGCUGGUCUGAGAGGAUGGCCAGCCACACUGGGACUGAGACACGGCCCAGACUCCUACGGGAGGCAGCAGUGGGAAUAUGACAAUGGCGCAAGCCUGAUCCAGCCAUGCCGCGUGAGUGAUGAAGGCCUUAGGGUUGUAAAGCUCUUUCGCCAGGGACGAUAAUGACGGUACCUGGAUAAGAAGCCCGGCUAACUUCGUGCCAGCAGCCGC